This is a long non-coding RNA of Rhipicephalus microplus (southern cattle tick), 267 nucleotides long. RefSeq lists it as uncharacterized. The record is from RefSeq and is a predicted model, not a curated record. NCBI's taxonomy places the organism in Eukaryota, Metazoa, Arthropoda, Arachnida, Ixodida, Ixodidae.
UGUGUGCUUCGAAGUAAUACAUCCCCAAUUUAUAUCAAGCUAUCAACUGCUUUCCGGGAAUUCACAUGGUAUUUGUAAAUGACUCUGGCUUUCAGUGAUAGUUUAGCUACGAUAUUGAAGCACAGACUGGAUAGGAGAUGGCUUUUGCAGACAACACUAGCCCAGCAAGCCUCAUGCGAACCUGUCUACACCUCAUGCACUAACUUGCACUUCUUCAUACCGUAGUUUGUGGAAGGUAGCAUGCAAUAAAAAGAAUGUUCUCACCAA